Molecule: transfer RNA, 76 nt
Filed under: bacterium BMS3Abin01
Lineage: Bacteria
Also listed under: 2 other names
Description: tRNA-Val
Rfam family: tRNA
About the family: Transfer RNA (tRNA) molecules are approximately 80 nucleotides in length.
Source: RNAcentral
GGGCGAUUAGCUCAGCUGGGAGAGCACCUGCCUUACAAGCAGGGGGUCAGUGGUUCGAACCCGCUAUCGCCCACCA